CCCUUAGAUGUUCUGGGCAGCACGCGCGCUACAAUGGUCUUCGCAAACGGAUGCAUUCUCGAAGGAGAAUGCCAAUCUUGGAAUCUAUGCCUUGGUCGGGACAGUUGCUUGCAAUUUUUCGACUCGAACCAGGAAUUCCUUGUAAUCGUGAUUCAUCACAUCACGAUGAAUACGUCCCUGCCCUUUGUACACACCGCCCGUCGCUCCUACCGAUCGAAGAGUUAGGUGUAUUGUUUUGAUCGAUAAGAUUUGACUAUGGUCAACUCUCGUUGUGAAAUUCUGUGAAUCUGACUGUUUAGAGGAAGGAAAAGUCGUAACA
This 319-nucleotide ribosomal RNA is filed under the name uncultured eukaryote. RNAcentral describes it as "partial 18S ribosomal RNA". It matches the Rfam family "Eukaryotic small subunit ribosomal RNA", at positions 1470 to 1796 of the family's 1831-position model. The record is from RNAcentral.